ACAGUGUUAGUAUAUUUAAUAUUUUAUCUUUCCAAGUUAAGGAUCUUCGUUGUAAGGCACUGUA
RNAcentral lists this transfer RNA (64 nucleotides) under Macrogyrodactylus karibae. RNAcentral's name for it is "tRNA-Gly". Lineage: Eukaryota; Metazoa; Platyhelminthes; Monogenea; Gyrodactylidea; Gyrodactylidae. The record is from RNAcentral.